UUAAGGGUGCAGGGCGGAUGCCUUGGCACUAGGAGCCGAUGAAGGACGUGAUAAGCUGCGAUAAGCUUCGGGGAGUUGCACGUAAACUUUGAUCCGAAGAUUUCCGAAUGAGGAAACUCACUUAGAGUAAUGUCUAAGUAUCAUUAAGUGAAUACAUAGCUUAAUGAGGGGAACUCAGGGAACUGAAACAUCUAAGUACCUGAAGGAAGAGAAAGAAAUUCGAUUCCGUAAGUAGCGGCGAGCGAACGCGGAUUAGCCCAAACCAAUAAAGUUUUCUUUAUUGGGGUUGCGGACAUAUCAUAACGAAGAGGUAUCGUAAUUGAAGAGGUUUGGAAAGACCCACCACAGAAGGUAAUAGUCCUGUAUGUUAAACGAGAAGACUUUAGAUAUGAUCCAGAGUACCACGGGACACGUGAAACCCUGUGGGAAGCAGGAGGGACCACCCUCCAAGGCUAAAUACUACCUAGUGACCGAUAGCGUAUAGUACCGUGAGGGAAAGGUGAAAAGAACCCCGGGAGGGGAGUGAAAUAGAACCUGAAACCCUGCACUUACAAGCUGUGGAAGCACAUUUCUUGUGUGACCGCGUACUUUUUGUAGAACGGGCCAACGAGUUACGUUAAGUAGCAAGGUUAAGCACUUAAGGUGUGGAGCCGUAGCGAAAGCGAGUUUUAACUGAGCGUUCAGUUACUUGACGUAGACCCGAAACCGGGCGACCUACCCAUGAGCAGGAUGAAGCGAAAGUAAAAUUUCGUGGAGGUCCGAACCCACGAGCGUUGAAAAGCUCGGGGAUGACUUGUGGGUAGCGGUGAAAUUCCAAUCGAGCCCGGAGAUAGCUGGUUCUCCCCGAAAUAGCUUUAGGGCUAGCCUCAAGGUGAGAGAUACGGAGGUAGAGCACUGAAUGUCCUAGGGGGUAUUGCACCUACCGAAGACUAUCAAACUCCGAAUGCCGUCAUCUUAUACUUGGGAGUCAGACUGUGGGUGAUAAGAUUCAUAGUCGAAAGGGCAACAGCCCAGAUCGUCAGCUAAGGUCCCUAAAUGUAAGUUAAGUGGUAAAGGAUGUGGGAUUGCACAGACAACCAGGAUGUUGGCUUAGAAGCAGCCACUCAUUCAAAGAGUGCGUAAUAGCUCACUGGUCGAGUGAUCCUGCGCCGAAGAUUUCCGGGGCUAAAACUUACUACCGAAGCUACGGCAUCAGUAAUGAUGGGUAGGGGAGCUUCCCAUACGGGUUGAAGCAUGACCGUAAGGACAUGUGGACAGUAUGGGAGUGAGAAUGUUGGCAUGAGUAGCGAGAUGUGGGUGAGAAUCCCACAGGCCGUAAACCCAAGGUUUCCAGGGGAAGGUUCGUCCGCCCUGGGUUAGUCGGGACCUAAGCUGAGGCCGAAAGGCGUAGGUGAUGGACAACAGGUUGAUAUUCCUGUACUACCGAUAACCGUUUGAGAGAAGGGAUGACACAGUAGGAUAAGCUAAGCACACUGUUGGUUAUGUGUGCCCAAGCAUUGAGGCAGUCAAAGUAGGCAAAUCCGCUUUGAUAAUGCUAGGAUGUGAUGGGGAGCGAAAUUUAGUAGCGAAGUAGCUGAUUUCACACUGUCAAGAAAAGUCUCUAUCGAGGUUAAAGGUACCCGUACCGCAAACCGACACAGGUGGGUGAGGAGAGUAUCCUAAGGCCAGCGAGAGAACUGUUGUUAAGGAACUCGGCAAAAUGACCCCGUAACUUAGGGAUAAGGGGUGCCACCAUCAGGUGGCCGCAGAGAAUAGGCCCAAGCGACUGUUUACCAAAAACAUAGGUUUCUGCUAAGUCGCAAGACGAUGUAUAGGAGCUGACGCCUGCCCGGUGCUGGAAGGUUAAGGGGAUCUGUUAGAGCAAUCGAAGCAGUGAACUUAAGCCCCAGUAAACGGCGGCCGUAACUAUAACGGUCCUAAGGUAGCGAAAUUCCUUGUCGGGUAAGUUCCGACCCGCACGAAAGGCGUAACGAUUUGGGCACUGUCUCAACAACAGACUCGGUGAAAUUGUAAUUCCGGUGAAGAUGCCGGAUACCUGCGACAGGACGGAAAGACCCCAUGGAGCUUUACUGUAGCUUGACAUUGGGUCUUGGUACUACAUGUACAGGAUAGGUGGGAGGCUUUGAAACCAGGACGCCAGUUUUGGCGGAGCCAUCCUUGGGAUACCACCCUUGUAGUACUGGGACUCUAACCAUAGGCCAUGAAUCUGGUCUUGGGACACUGUCAGGUGGGCAGUUUGACUGGGGCGGUCGCCUCCCAAAAGGUAACGGAGGCGCUCAAAGGUUCUCUCAGUACGGUCGGAAAUCGUACGUAGAGUGUAAAGGCAAAAGAGAGCUUGAUUGCAAGACAUACAGGUCGAGCAAGGAUGAAAAUCGGACUUAGUGAUCCGGUGGUUCUGCGUGGAAGGGCCAUCGCUCAACGGAUAAAAGCUACCCUGGGGAUAACAGGCUUAUCUCCCCAAGAGUCCACAUCGACGGGGAGGUUUGGCACCUCGAUGUCGGCUCAUCACAUCCUGGGGCUGUAGUAGGUCCCAAGGGUUGGGCUGUUCGCCCAUUAAAGUGGUACGCGAGCUGGGUUCAGAACGUCGUGAGACAGUUCGGUCCCUAUCCGUCGCAGGCGUAGGAAAUUUGAGAAGACCUGUCCUUAGUACGAGAGGACCGGGAUGGACGUACCUCUGGUGUACCAGUUGUCCUGCCAAGGGCAUGGCUGGGUAGCUAUGUGCGGAAUGGAUAAGCGCUGAAAGCAUCUAAGCGCGAAGCCAACUUCAAGAUAAGAUUUCCCACCGCAAGGGUAAGACCCCAGAAAGACUAUCUGGUUGAUAGGUCGAAGGUGUAAGUGCAGCAAUGUAUUUAGCUUAUCGAUACUAAUAGGUCGAGGACUUGACC
RNAcentral lists this ribosomal RNA (2885 nucleotides) under Clostridioides difficile. RNAcentral's name for it is "bacterial LSU rRNA". It matches the Rfam family "Bacterial large subunit ribosomal RNA". Lineage: Bacteria; Bacillati; Bacillota; Clostridia; Peptostreptococcales; Peptostreptococcaceae. The record is from RNAcentral.